AUUGAACGCUGGCGGCAUGCUUUACACAUGCCAGUCGAGCGGUAACAGGGUGCUUGCACCGCUGACGAGUGGCGAACGGGUGAGUAAUGCAUCGGAAUGUACCGUGUAAUGGGGGAUAGCUCGGCGAAAGCCGGAUUAAUACCGCAUACGCCCUGAGGGGGAAAGUGGGGGACCGAAAGGCCUCACGUUAUACGAGCAGCCGAUGUCUGAUUAGCUAGUUGGUGAGGUAAAGGCUCACCAAGGCGUCGAUCAGUAGCGGGUCUGAGAGGAUGAUCCGCCACACUGGGACUGAGACACGGCCCAGACUCCUACGGGAGGCAGCAGUGGGGAAUUUUGGACAAUGGGCGCAAGCCUGAUCCAGCCAUGCCGCGUGUCUGAAGAAGGCCUUCGGGUUGUAAAGGACUUUUGUCCGGGAGCAAAUCCUAGUGGUUAAUAACCGCUGGGUCUGAGAGUACCGGAAGAAUAAGCACCGGCUAACUACGUG
This 484-nucleotide ribosomal RNA is filed under the name uncultured bacterium. RNAcentral describes it as "partial 16S ribosomal RNA". It matches the Rfam family "Bacterial small subunit ribosomal RNA", at positions 30 to 507 of the family's 1533-position model. The record is from RNAcentral.